CAGUCGCCACGGUAAUACGAAGGGGGCUAGCGUUGCUCGGAAUGACUGGGCGUAAAGGGCGCGUAGGCGGCGAUCAAAGUCAGGCGUGAAAUUCCUGGGCUCAACCUGGGGGCUGCGCUUGAUACUUGGUUGCUUGAGUGGGGAAGAGGGUCGUGGAAUUCCCAGUGUAGAGGUGAAAUUCAUAGAUAUUGGGAAGAACACCGGUGGCGAAGGCGGCGACCUGGUCCUUGACUGACGCUGAGGCGCGAAAGCGUGGGGAGCAAACAGGAUUAGAUACCCCAGUAGUCCCUGUCUCUUAUAC
RNAcentral lists this ribosomal RNA (301 nucleotides) under uncultured bacterium. RNAcentral's name for it is "partial 16S ribosomal RNA". It matches the Rfam family "Bacterial small subunit ribosomal RNA", at positions 509 to 807 of the family's 1533-position model. The record is from RNAcentral.